Teleopsis dalmanni is the source of this 2269-nucleotide long non-coding RNA. RefSeq lists it as uncharacterized. The record is from RefSeq and is a predicted model, not a curated record. The transcript has 11 exons. NCBI's taxonomy places the organism in Eukaryota, Metazoa, Arthropoda, Insecta, Diptera, Diopsidae.
UUAAGCUAUAUUAAAUUCAAACUUUAAAUUCAAACACCUACAAAAUUGUGAAGAAGUUCCAAUAGAUGGUUAAUAUUUUGUUGAAAAGUUCUUCUAAUCACCAUGCCUAAGCGUAUCACCAAAGUUCCGGAUAGUGAUUCAGAAGAUGAUCAGUUCUUAGAAGAUAUGAUAAUCCAUGUCUUACACAUCGCAAACUCAUCCGAUCGUAGUAUAAGGAAGACAGUUACGUUCAUCUUGGAGCAUCGCGAGUAUUCACUUCUGAUAGCCAGAAGCUGGGCGAAACAAGUUUUAGAAACUAAAAGAAUUGCUCAAAAAAUUGUUCUCUUCCGAAUAUUGGAUGGUGUGUAUCAGAAAUGCGCUGAGGAGCCAAGUACUAGCAUUAUGUGGUCCUUUGACAUAAUUGUAUAUUAUGUUUUGGAUAAGCUAUUAACUGAUUGUAAGAAUGUAACAUUGCUUAAGCACAUUGAAAAUAUGUUAAUUGUAUGGGCGACAAAAAGUAUUUAUAACCCCACAAAACUGGAGAAUUAUAAGAAACGCAUUGGAGAUUUAGUAAAGUCACUAGAAGCAUCACUUUCAGAGGACUGUGAUGUUUAAAGCUCUUUCCUCUUACUUGAAAAAUUAUUACUAUGACAGUCCUGUUCCCAAAAACUGCACAGCUGAAGCAACGUAUUUUCGGAAAAUUAUCAUAAACCAGCACAGAACAGAGAACUACUUUAUACAUGUAAUAUUUGACCGAACGGACUUAGUGGGAUGCUUAUUCAAUUAUCCAGAUGCUUACAGUUCAUUUCUCUGACUUAUAGAACUAUUACUAUAAUGGUUCUAUUACCAAACACUGCAUAGCUGAAGCAACGUACUUUCAGAAAAAUUAUCUUAAACCAGCCCAGAACAGAGAACUACUUUAUACAUGUAACUUUUGACCGAACGGACUUAGUGGGAUACCUAUUCAAUUAACCUGAUGCUUACAGUUCAUUUCUCUGACUUAUAGAACUAUUAAUAUGACGGUUAUAUUACCAAACACUGCACAGCUGAAGCAACGUACUUUCAGAAAAAUUAUCUUAAACCAGCCCAGAACAGAGAACUACUUUAUACAUGUAAUAUUUGACCGAACGGACUUAGUGGGAUGCUUAUUCAAUUAACCAGUUGCUUACAGUUCAUUUCUCUGACUUAUAGAACUAUUAAUAUGACGGUUAUAUUACCAAACACUGCACAGCUGAAGCAACGUACUUCCGGAAAAAUUAUCUUAAACCAGCCCAGAACAGAGAACUACUUUAUACAUGUAAUAUUUGACCGAACGGACUUAGUGGGAUGCUUAUUCAAUUAACCAGUUGCUUACAGUUCAUUUCUCUGACUUAUAGAACUAUUAAUAUGACGGUCCUUUUACCAAACGCUGCACAGCUGAAACAGAGCCCAGGACAGAGAACUGCUUUAUACAUGUAAUAUUUGACCGAACGGACUUUGUGGGAUGCCUAUUCAAUUAACCUGAUGCUUACAGUUCAUUUCUCUGACUUAUAGAACUAUUAUUAUGACGGUUCUAUUCCCAAAACCUGCACAGCUGAAAUGACAUACUUUUGGAAAAUUAUCAUAAACCAGCACAGAACAGAGAACUGCUUUAUAAAUGUAAUAUUUGACCGAACGGACUUAGUGGGAUGCCUAUUCAAUUAACCUGAUGCUUACAGUUCAUUUCUCUGACUUAUAGAACUAUUACUAUAAUGGUCCUGUUCCCAAACACUGCACAGCUGAAGCAACGUACUUUCGGAAAAUUAUCUUAAACCAACACAGAACAGAGAACUGCUUUAUACAUGUAAUAUUUGACCGAACGGACUUAGUGGGAUGCUUAUUCAUUUAACCAGAUGCUUACAGUGCAUUUCUCUGACUUAUAGAACUAUUACUAUAAUGGUUCUAUUCCCAAAACCUGUACAGCUGAAACGACAUACUUUUGGAAAAUUAUCAUAAACCAGCACAGAACAGAGAACUACUUUAUACGUGUAAUAUUUGACCAAUCGGACUUAGUGGGAUGCCUAUUCAAUUAACCUGAUGCUUACAGUUCAUUUCUCUGACUUAUUGAACUAUUAAUAUGACGGUCCUUUUACCAAACGCUGCACAGCUGAAACAGAGCCCAGGACAGAGAACUGCUUUAUACAUGUAAUAUUUGACCGAACGGACUUAGUGGGAUGCCUAUUCAAUUAACCAAAUAUUUCUACAAUUAAGAUUUUAAGGAAACUUUUAUAUUUGUUAUAUAUUAUUCUGAAACUAUUGAUAUCAAUAUUUA